RNAcentral lists this ribosomal RNA (852 nucleotides) under marine metagenome. Its description in RNAcentral is "bacterial SSU rRNA". It matches the Rfam family "Bacterial small subunit ribosomal RNA", at positions 8 to 860 of the family's 1533-position model. The record is from RNAcentral.
AGAGUUUGAUCCUGGCUCAGGAUGAACGCUAGCGGCAGGCUUAACACAUGCAAGUCGAGGGGCAGCACGAUUGCUUGCAAUUGGUGGCGACCGGCGCACGGGUGCGUAACGCGUAUGCAACUUACCCUUUACAGGGGGAUAGCCCGGGGAAACCCAGAUUAAUAUCCCAUAGUAUAAUAAUAUCGCAUGGUAUAAUUAUUAAAGAUUUAUCGGUAAAGGAUGGGCAUGCGUAAGAUUAGCUAGUUGGUAAGGUAAUGGCUUACCAAGGCUACGAUCUUUAGGGGGCCUGAGAGGGUGAUCCCCCACACUGGUACUGAGACACGGACCAGACUCCUACGGGAGGCAGCAGUGAGGAAUAUUGCGCAAUGGACGAAAGUCUGACGCAGCCAUGCCGCGUGAAGGAUGACGGCGCUACGCGUUGUAAACUUCUUUUAUAUACCAAGAAACCUUCGGACGUGUCCGAAGCUGACGGUAGUAUAUGAAUAAGCACCGGCUAACUCCGUGCCAGCAGCCGCGGUAAUACGGAGGGUGCAAGCGUUAUCCGGAUUUAUUGGGUUUAAAGGGUCCGUAGGCGGAUCAUUAAGUCAGUGGUGAAAGCCUACAGCUCAACUGUAGAACUGCCAUUGAUACUGAUGAUCUUGAGUACGGUUGAAGUAGGCGGAAUAUGACAUGUAGCGGUGAAAUGCUUAGAUAUGUCAUGGAACACCGAUUGCGAAGGCAGCCUACUAAGCCGUUACUGACGCUGAGGGACGAAAGCGUGGGGAGCGAACAGGAUUAGAUACCCUGGUAGUCCACACCGUAAACGAUGAUUACUCGGUAUUGGCUUUAUUGUCAGUGCCCAAGCGAAAGUGA